CUCCUUGAUCCAGGUGCCAGCAGAAGGACACGUAGUUUUGGGGUGAGAACUCACUUCUGUCAGCAGUGGUGGUACUUGGACAAAUGACAUUCUUGGGCAAAUGAUGUGAGGCCAGAAGCCUGAAAAAAAGGAGUCUAAAUGAGUCAGACUGCACUGAGGCUACCUAUUUAUGUGUAUCAUUUCUGGAAAAUCUCUGUGUAUAAUCAGAGUGAUUUUUCUCUUUCAGCAGGAGGAGGAGCUGGCCCUUCAUUACACUUAAAAUGGAGUUUGAUUCCUGGUAGUGGGUCAGUGGUGAUUAUACUGCUCAGAUAAAUGCAGGAAAGGAAGGACUGCCCAUCUGGGCUGACCAUGUGUGAGACACACAGCCCGACAGUGCAAAUGUUCAGAGAAACUAACCACUUUCAGGUUGCAACUUUGAGCCUGCUCUGUGCCAAGCAUCAGGAGUGACUUUUUGUCUUCAAAGCUGGAGAGACAUUUCCCACCAGUGCAGAUGAAGGUGCCUCUUCCCUCCAAGGCCACAGAAGAGCAGAGGGCAGACAGUGAGCUAAGGUCUGUUCUCACUCCUGAAGUGUUGGCCACUGCCAUGGUGUGCUGCAGUGUACGGCAACAAAGAGCAGCCCUGCAGAAUCCGCGUGUGAACAAAGGCGAGAGCGCCGGGUUUGUCCUCGGCAGGUUCCUGCCCACCCCGUCCAUUCAUCAUCUGAAGAGGAAAUCUGAGGAGCAAAAAGACUAUCCCUCUAAGCUCUAACAGAGGUUAGGAAUUUUGAAGUCGGCUGUAUUUUUCCCCAGAGUAUUUCUCUGUCUGGGUCUUUUUCUUGCUUUCUUCCCUCUACCUCUCCUUUCUCUUUUCAUUGUUCCCCUUUCAUUCCCUCUCUCCCUCCUACCACCAGUCUGGGUUUCUUUGUCUUUCCCUAAUAUAUUGCUUCUCCUCCACCCCUGCCCAGGAACUGAGACGAUUUAGUCACCUUGCUUCUUCAGACUC
Molecule: long non-coding RNA, 982 nt
Filed under: Anas platyrhynchos platyrhynchos (common mallard)
Lineage: Eukaryota; Metazoa; Chordata; Aves; Anseriformes; Anatidae
Description: lncRNA (ENSAPLG00000026670.1)
Source: RNAcentral